This 481-nucleotide ribosomal RNA is filed under the name uncultured bacterium. RNAcentral describes it as "bacterial SSU rRNA". It matches the Rfam family "Bacterial small subunit ribosomal RNA", at positions 12 to 518 of the family's 1533-position model. The record is from RNAcentral.
UUCGAUUCUGGCUCAGAUUGAACGCUGGCGGCAGGCCUAAUACAUGCAAGUCGAACGGUAACAUAGGAAAAGCUUGCUUUUCCUGAUGACGAGUGGCGGACGGGUGAGUAAAGUUGGGAAGCUACCUGAUAGAGGGGGACAACAGUUGGAAACGACUGCUAAUACCGCAUACAGCCUGAGGGUGAAAGCAGCAAUGCGCUAUCAGAUGCGCCCAAAUGGGAUUAGCUAGUAGGUGAGGUAAAGGCUCACCUAGGCGACGAUCUCUAGCUGGUCUGAGAGGAUGAUCAGCCACAUUGGGACUGAGACACGGCCCAGACUCCUACGGGAGGCAGCAGUAGGGAAUAUUGCACAAUGGAGGAAACUCUGAUGCAGCCAUGCCGCGUGUGUGAAGAAGGCCUUCGGGUUGUAAAGCACUUUCGGAGGGGAGGAGAAUGGCGUUACCCUCAGAAGAAGCACCGGCUAACUCCGUGCCAGCCGCCGC